UAGAUGAGCAGGUUUUCUCCAGGAAGCUGGAGAGGGAAGAGAAGGCAGACGAGGUUAAGUAGCACAUUCUGUAGAGGAGCAGCUGUGUGGAUGGGCUGGGUCUGUCCCUCCAGAUCUACUCUUCACCCUUCCCCACCUCCUCUGUGCACCAGCAGGCUGACCUCUGUGGAUUGCACCAUCCCAGGGGAGCUGACUGAGUUUGACCAAGGAGAGACACUAGCUGGAGUAGAGACUGGGAGGAGAGAGAAAUCUGUUAAAGGAGCACCCAGUAUACAACUUGACACAGAGCAUGUGUGAGGACCAACCAGUGACAGAAGCCCAGCCUCCGAGCUCAGGUCCAAGCUCCCCUCACUUGUCCCGCCGGGGUACUGAACUGCGACCCGGCCAAGUCCACGGAGGCGAAGGAGGGCGGCAGCUCCAGCUCCAGGGGCUCUCUCUGUCCAUGCCAGUGCCUGCCUGGCAACAUGUGUCUUGUUCCACACCUGUGGCUCAGAGGAGAGCCCAGUGUCCUCUGUCCAGCAGAACCGCCCGUCGCUUUCCCUUGCUCCAGAACUUGGAGCAAAAUCUCUCUCCGUGUCCAAGAUGUGUGAGAUGUCUGAACUCUGAGAUGGUCUUUCAUUUCCACCAGAUUUCACAAAACGGGUGUCAAUAUCUUUGAAGAAGUGAUCUUCAGUAGGAAUUGGUGAGGUGGCAAGGUAAGCAGGAAGCUUUUCAUAUUCCUCUUCAGUCUCCUCCACAAAGAAAG
This 745-nucleotide long non-coding RNA is filed under the name Equus caballus (horse). Its description in RNAcentral is "lncRNA (ENSECAG00000047266.1)". Lineage: Eukaryota; Metazoa; Chordata; Mammalia; Perissodactyla; Equidae. The record is from RNAcentral.